GCGGAAGUUGGACAGUCGCGCCCAGAGAAGUCUGAAUGAAGGUUGAACUGAGCCCAGACUGAACAACUCUGUCAAUCUUCGGUUCGAGGAGGAGGGAGGGUGGGAGACACGUCUCUCCCGCCGCUCUGCGCUGUGAAAAGACCGUUGGCGUCGAGGGUCUUCUCUCGGCCAGGCUGGCCAGUCGCCAUGGCCACCGCUCGCGAGGCUGUUGUCAGAGGGCCUUCGCUGUCGAGAUCUGCUCCGUCAUCCCCAUCGAUCAGCCACAGCCGGAGCUAGCGUUUGCCCUGGGGUCUGUCUGCACCUUGCUGUAUCCUCCCUGCCACCCGCAGCUACACAAAUGAAGGUCACAGUGCGCGUCCGGUUUGUGAGAGGAAACCCGCAAAGGGAAGCAGGCAGGAUACUGAAGCAACGCAAAGUUUCCCACCUGAGCCUCGUGAGGACCAGGGUGCAGUGCGAUUCUGAAGGCCUGCUGCUGAUGCUGCCAAUCUGCUGAGAUUCUAGAAGGUUUGUCCUGACGUUAUGUGUGUUAAUGGCCCAAGGGGAACACCGACUGGUGUCAGCGAGCGUGUCAUUGACGGCAAUUUACCAACACUUAGCCGAUGAUGGAAAGCAGACUGGUGGGGUGUGAUCAGACAGGAACAUCAAUGCCGGUGCUUUUGAUGUAUUGAAACAGCACCACCUAGUGGUGCAGCUUGUUCCUGCAACCUAUGCAAUCAUUGCCAAAGCUGGGAUAGAUUUCUAACGUGUAUCAUGUGGACUGACAGGAGGCCAAGAUGAUAUCGGCAUGAGAAACCUCUGGCUGAAAACAUUUGCGCACGCUUCAGACUUUUUUCUGUCACCAUGUGCAAGGGCUCCGUCAUAUUGUGACAUUUGUCAAGCUCCAUCCUUCAGUUCCAAGUUAAAUUAUCUGCCAUCAUUUACACCUGCAUGUCCUGAAUCUCAACUGUUGCUUUGAGGAUGCUUCAACUCGGCCAACCACAAGCUACUGGCGCUGUUUGGGUCGCAAGUUCAGGAUCGGUGUCUCUUCACCAAGUCUGUACUUGCCUUGCCUCGGUAUGCUUGUUCCUGCUCAUGGCAAGCUCUGCUGAACGUCUGCUUUAAACAAGGCUGACCCCCCCCACACCCUGCUUUGAUGGGAGGAUGAGGGAACAUACUUUGUGUGCGCACACUGUCACUUACCUUUUGGAGUUCUAUGUUUUAAAACUUUUCAAAACUCCAACAGGAACAAGCCUAUUCUGACUAACAUUUCAUCAGCAGCCAAACUGCCAUUGCUGUUAUCUUUCCAGCGUUUUGUAUAACUACGAUGUAG
Long non-coding RNA from Hemiscyllium ocellatum (epaulette shark), 1309 nucleotides. RefSeq lists it as uncharacterized. The record is from RefSeq and is a predicted model, not a curated record. The transcript has 5 exons. NCBI's taxonomy places the organism in Eukaryota, Metazoa, Chordata, Chondrichthyes, Orectolobiformes, Hemiscylliidae.